CGCCCAACAGCUAGCCCACCCCACUAAAUACAACAACCCUUAUUAAUACCCCCCAAUACACUACCCUAAUAAAAACAAACCAUUUUUCCACCUAAGUAUAGGCGAUAGAAA
RNAcentral lists this ribosomal RNA (111 nucleotides) under Scatophagus argus. RNAcentral describes it as "partial 16S rRNA". The record is from RNAcentral. Lineage: Eukaryota; Metazoa; Chordata; Actinopteri; Scatophagidae.